Molecule: small nucleolar RNA, 126 nt
Filed under: Zalophus californianus (California sea lion)
Lineage: Eukaryota; Metazoa; Chordata; Mammalia; Carnivora; Otariidae
Also listed under: 1 other name
Description: Small nucleolar RNA SNORA32 (ENSZCAG00015007559.1)
Rfam family: Small nucleolar RNA SNORA32
About the family: ACA32 is a member of the H/ACA class of snoRNA that guide the sites of modification of uridines to pseudouridines.
Source: RNAcentral
UGGUCAUUACCAAGGCUUUGAGAAUGCAGUUUCUCAUUUGCUGUGGACAUGACCAUAAAAAAAUUUUCCCACUAGGUUUUCUUUCUUUCUGCUACUUUGCUAGCAUUCAGCCUAUUGGGAACAUUU